This 253-nucleotide ribosomal RNA is filed under the name uncultured bacterium. RNAcentral's name for it is "partial 16S ribosomal RNA". It matches the Rfam family "Bacterial small subunit ribosomal RNA", at positions 524 to 776 of the family's 1533-position model. The record is from RNAcentral.
UACGGGGGGGGCAAGCGUUGUUCGGAAUUACUGGGCGUAAAGGGCUCGUAGGUGGCCAACUAAGUCAGACGUGAAAUCCCUCAGCUUAACUGGGGAACUGCGUCUGAUAUUGGAUGGCUUGAGUUUGGGAGAGGGACGCGGAAUUCCAGGUGUAGCGGUGAAAUGCGUAGAUAUCUGGAGGAACACCGGUGGCGAAGGCGGCGUCCUGGACCAACACUGACACUGAUGAGCGAAAGCCAGGGGAGCAAACGGG